CUUAUAUGUGAAAUCUAAAAAAUUAAACUCAGAGAAACAGAGAGUAGAAUAGUGUUGCCAGAGGCUGGGGGUGAGGAAAUGGAGAUAUUUGAUGAAAGGGUAUAAACUCUCAGUUAAAAGAUGAAUGAGGUCUGGGGAUCUAGUGCACAGCCUAAGUGGUGAUGGAUGUGUUGAUUAAUUUCAUUGUGACAAUUAUUACACAGUGUACAUGUGUAUCAAAUAAUCACAUUGCACACCUUGAAUACAUAUAAUCUUUAGUUCUCAAUUAAGUACUUUGAAAUUUAAAAAAAAAGAAAAUAAUAAAAUCUACUAAAUCUUGGUAGUAACAGUGAGAUCCUGUGUCACGUAUGCCACUAUCCACUCCCUCCUUUACCCUUACCCCUAAAGCUCAGCAUGAUAGACGCCCCACUCCAAAGGGGCUCCCUUUCCUCUAAGCUACCAGUCAAGUGGUAAGGUAUUCUCCUGGGAUAAAGAGAUUGCCAACAUUUUUUAUCCUCUCCUAGCUGCAUGUUACGAAGGCUAGUUUCCAGGCAAGUGUGGCCAAGACAUCAGGAACUUCAUUCACCUACCCAGCUCCAAUUUCACUGGUUCUACUCUAGGUACAGAAGGGUAAUAAAACUUGGGCCAAAUUAUCUUAACCCCAAUCUUUUCAUAAGGAGAAUAUUCCAUACUGGAAGAGGCAAGCUGAGAAGACCAGAGGCUACUGCCCCAGCUCAGUGCUCAGUUCAUGAAACAUGGUAUUCCAAGAGAAGUGGGUGAUUUUGCCUGCUGUCAUCUCCAGAGCAGUGGUUCAGAGAUUUUGCCAGAUGAAGAGGCAAGUCAAAAUAACAUAAGAUGCAGAAACUUCCCCCGAAGAAAUUGAAUUUAUUUGGAACAAAGUGCGGGUAGGAAAGAGACAAAUGGAAGCAAAAUAGCAAAAUGGUGAAGAGGAGGGUUCUAGAGGCAGAGAGCCCUGCAGUCCUGAGUCCUGAGUCCACCGUUUAACAGAGUGACUUUGCUCAGCCUGUGGAUUAUAAUGAAACUUGCCUGUUAUAGGAUCCAGUUUUUUAGGUGGUAGCAACAUGCUCAAGGAAGAUGCAGCCCCUUCCUCCAGCCUGAGAGAAUAAAGCAUCAUUGGCUUAUGCCAACCAUGGCAAUCCCAUUCCCCUUUUCUCAUGAUUGAUUUGGGAAUGGGCAAGUGACCCAGUUCUAACCAAUGAGACGAAAGAAAAAGUCUAUUGGUCAGCUUAUCUCAGAAGAUUUUUGUUUCCUGCUAUAAAGAGAAACAGUAAGUUCCUUCCUGCCUGACUUAAAUGCAAUUGUGUGCAAACAUGUUACUUGGAGCUACAGCAACGAUUCUGUGACCAUGAGGCAAUAAGCCAAGGACAAAGGAUAGAAUAGUGAAAAGACAGAGUAUUGGAUUUUUUUUAUGAUAUCAUUGAACUGCUGGACCAAUGUGGAACCAUCUACUUUUAGUCUUUCAUGAUUUGUGAGAUGAUUAAACAUUUCUUUUUUUUAGCCAUUAUUUCUUUUCUGUUACUUGCAACUGAAGACAUCCUACAUAAUACAAACACUAUCCAACUUGGAUUGUAAUUUAUCUAUUUUCAGAUCUGUGUGUUCUGUCUUACUGAUUUUUGUAUUCUUAGCACUGAGUAUAAGGCUGCUACUUAGUAAGACUUCAAUAAAUGACUGUUUAAAAAGGUCUUAGAGGAUUUAAAAAAAAUUCUGAAGUUGCUGAAAUAUGAAGACCAGGAACCAAUUUCAGGUUCUAUAAAUUUCUCGCUUCCUUCACUUCUGGAGUAGUCUUCAUUUCUGUCUGAUUCUACCUUUACUAAAAUGAAUGAAUGAUUGAGAAAUACGAAAAAUGGCUGGUAUAGUGGCUACUGCUGAGAAGUAUCUCUUGGAAAUUCCCGGAAAUUCCAUCAGUCACAUUCAGACCUAACUCUCUGAUGAUCAAUGUUUCUGAACUCAAACCAGUGUACAUAAGCAGUGGACUAUUUAAAGUGGUAUUAGCCUAGAAUAUCUAGGACCCAUGUUUUAUGCAUUCAGUAAGCGUUUGUUUAAUGUCUGUUAUCUACCAGGCACAUUAUUAUGCAUUGGGCAUAUAGAGAUGACCAACCACACGGCCUCAAUCCUUGAAAAGCUUACAGUAACCAAAUAGGGUUAACGGCCUAAAGAGAGGUAAUUACAAGUCUUACACUCAGUCUUCUUAGCAUAGUAUGGUGCUACCUCUGAGUUAAUUAAGAUAACAAAAUUCCUAGAUAUAUAUCUUUGAUGAAACGGUUUCCAUGAAAACUUUCCAAGUUUGGUCCCUCCCCGGCUGAGUUCAUUUUGGAAGGUGACUUUCUGCUCUCAUCACCUAAGGUCCUUAACACGUAUCCUGUGUUCUCCGGAGGCACCCCUUGCCCAGAGUGUGCCCUCUGCAUGGUUCCCCCAGAACACCUAUUUCAAAGGAAAAGAAGUUGGAUCAUUCAGUGAAGAUUUGGGGGGCCACUUUUCUACGUGGGAGGAUUAUGAGUAUUACCUUCCUCCCCUAUGUAUUAGUAAAUAUAAAGAAAACAUAAAUUAACCCCCUUUCUGGCUGGGCACGGUGGCUCACGCCUGUCAUCCCGCACUAUGGGAAUCCGAAGUGGGCGGAUCACUUGAGGUCAGCAGUUUGAGACCAGCCUGGCCAACAUGGCAAAACCCCGUCUCUACUAAAAUAUAAAAAUUAGCCAGAUGUGGUUGCACACAUCUCUAGUCCCAGCUACUCGGGAGGCUGAGGCACAAGAACUGCUUGAGCCUGGGAGCAAGGGUUGCAGUGAGCUGAGAUUGUGCCAUUGCACUCCAGCCUGGGUGACAGAGCAAGACUCUGUCUCAAAAAAAUAAAAUAAAAUAAAAAUAAUUUAGACCCCAUUCUUCUUAGAUAACCAUGACUUCUGAAGGAGGUCAGAGCUCUUGUGCUCUGCAUCUCUGCUCCAUCAGCCUCAAGGCCACCUUUCAGGUCCACAUGAAAUAUAAGUGCACAAAGGCACCAGACUUAGCAUUAUUAGUUUCCCCCACUGGUCUGAUUUUUGUAGAAAUUGCCAGGAACUGAUUUUCUGCCCUUCCUUCCUAACAGACAAGCCUUCCAGCCCUCCCUGACACAGCUCUUCCCUAUCUCCUACUCUCUGGUCAUCAAGCUUUUAGAGAUGCCCUGGCCUUCUCUAGUUGCCCCAGCUGUAUUUUUUCUUCUUGGGAAUGCGUUGAUUCCAGAGCCUGACUGGGAAUAAAUCUCAGCUCCUCCAUUUAGCAGUUAUGGGAUUCAAGUUACUCUUACUCCCAGGGACUCAGUUUCUGCACCUGUAAAAUGGAGAUUUACCACCUUUCGUUCCAGCAUUACUGAUAUUGUUUGGCUCUGUGUCCCUACCCAAAUCCCAUCUCGAAAAUUAAUCCCUAUAGUCCCCACCUGUUGAGGGUCCUGGUGGGAGGUAAUUGGAUCCUGGGGGCGGCUUUUCCCAUGCUGUUCUCGUGAUAGUGAGUAAGUUCUCACGAGAGCUGACGGUUUUAUAAGUGUUUGACAGUUUCUCCUUCACACGCUCUCUCUUCUGUCUCCUGCCAUCAUGUAAGAUGUGCCUGCUUCUCCUCCUCUCAUGAUUGCAAGUCUCCUGAGGCCUCCUCAGCCAUGAAGAACUGUGAGUCAAUUAAACCUCUUUCUUUUAUAAAUUACCCAGUCUUGGGUAUUUCUUUGUAGCAGUGUGAAAACAGACUAAUGCAAUUACCAUAAUGGGCUUUCAAUUGAUGAACUUGCAUCACUGACUCCUCAACACGCAGCUGACUUCCUACUGUAAUUGUUCACCAUGCAGACAUUUGUGGAGCCACAAGCAUAACCAUCAUGGUAUUUAAGAUUCGUUCUGUAUCUGGAUUUAUGCAGUUUAUGAAAAAUCAUCAAACUGUCCUUAUUAUUGGUGUCUUUUUUCUGUAUAUAUGUUAUGCUUCAAUAAAAUAUUUACUUAAAAUUA
Homo sapiens (human) is the source of this 3959-nucleotide long non-coding RNA. RefSeq lists it as uncharacterized. NCBI's taxonomy places the organism in Eukaryota, Metazoa, Chordata, Mammalia, Primates, Hominidae. The transcript is spliced from 3 exons. The record is from RefSeq and is a predicted model, not a curated record.